UGCAAAUCGUUCGUCAUACUUGGGUAUAGGGGCGAAAGACUAAUCGAACCAUCUAGUAGCUGGUUCCCUCCGAAGUUUCCCACAGGAUAGCUGGAGUUGCACAGUUUUAUCAGGUAAAGCGAAUGAUUAGAGGAAGUGGGGGCCUGCUUUGCCUGACCUAUGCUGAAAAUUUAAAUGGGUAAGAUGCAAUCGUU
Molecule: ribosomal RNA, 194 nt
Filed under: Mucochytrium quahogii
Lineage: Eukaryota; Bigyra; Thraustochytrida; Thraustochytriidae
Description: labyrinthulid quahog parasite QPX partial Eukaryotic large subunit ribosomal RNA
Rfam family: Eukaryotic large subunit ribosomal RNA
Source: RNAcentral